UAAAUAAUAUGAAGGAAAAAUAGUACUUAAAUGGUACUUGGGGCUUCUAAUUUUAAAUGGGUCCUAUUACAAUAGAGAUAUGUGUGAGUGUGUGUGUGUGUGUGUGUGUGUGUGUGUGUAUGGGUUUAAACCCAGGGGUGCUGAACCACUGAGUCACAGCCAAAGUCUUUAU
RNAcentral lists this small RNA (172 nucleotides) under Marmota monax (woodchuck). The record is from RNAcentral. Lineage: Eukaryota; Metazoa; Chordata; Mammalia; Rodentia; Sciuridae.